Molecule: ribosomal RNA, 482 nt
Filed under: uncultured bacterium
Lineage: Bacteria
Description: partial 16S ribosomal RNA
Rfam family: Bacterial small subunit ribosomal RNA
Source: RNAcentral
AUUGAACGCUGGCGGCAGGCCUAACACAUGCAAGUCGAGCGGAUGAAGGGAGCUUGCUCCUGGAUUCAGCGGCGGACGGGUGAGUAAUGCCUAGGAAUCUGCCUGGUAGUGGGGGAUAACGUCCGGAAACGGGCGCUAAUACCGCAUACGGCCUGAGGGAGAAAGUGGGGGAUCUUCGGACCUCACGCUAUCAGAUGAGCCUAGGUCGGAUUAGCUAGUUGGUGGGGUAAAGGCCUACCAAGGCGACGAUCCGUAACUGGUCUGAGAGGAUGAUCAGUCACACUGGAACUGAGACACGGUCCAGACUCCUACGGGAGGCAGCAGUGGGGAAUAUUGGACAAUGGGCGAAAGCCUGAUCCAGCCAUGCCGUGUGUGAAGAAGGUCUUCGGAUUGUAAAGCACUUUAAGUUGGGAGGAAGGGCAGUAAGUUAAUACCUUGCUGUUUUGACGUUACCAACAGAAUAAGCACCGGCUAACUUCGUG